GUGGUUGUAGUUCAGCUGGUUAGAACGCCUGAUUGUGGUUCAGGAGGUCGUGGGUUCAAAUCCCAUCUUCCACCCCA
This 77-nucleotide transfer RNA is filed under the name Chlorobiota bacterium. RNAcentral describes it as "tRNA-His". It matches the Rfam family "tRNA". Rfam says of the family: Transfer RNA (tRNA) molecules are approximately 80 nucleotides in length. Their secondary structure includes four short double-helical elements and three loops (D, anti-codon, and T loops). Lineage: Bacteria; Pseudomonadati; Chlorobiota. The record is from RNAcentral.